Long non-coding RNA from Capra hircus (goat), 295 nucleotides. RefSeq lists it as uncharacterized. The transcript is spliced from 3 exons. Lineage: Eukaryota; Metazoa; Chordata; Mammalia; Artiodactyla; Bovidae. The record is from RefSeq and is a predicted model, not a curated record.
UUGUCUGCGCUGCGCGGAGUGUUUACUUAUAGAGCUCUAGCUCCCACAUGGAGGUCACGGCGCCAACCCGGAUCUCGCGAGAUCUACGCCGGGCUCCGCCUUAAAGAGGACCACUCUCUACCUGCCCACUGUCCUGAAGUCCAAAGACAGAGAGUACAUAGAUGGGGUCAGUGCUUUCAUACUUCCAACUUCCGACUGAGUCUGGCCAAUGGAGAGGAAGCACAGACAGGAACACUGCAGAAUGGGAAAGGAGUGAGAUUCCACAUUAGAAAAGGCAGAGGAACCAGAAAUCAAA